This 520-nucleotide ribosomal RNA is filed under the name Nemesia sp. CRBAME001373. RNAcentral describes it as "partial 16S ribosomal RNA". It matches the Rfam family "Bacterial large subunit ribosomal RNA", at positions 1891 to 2715 of the family's 2925-position model. The record is from RNAcentral. Lineage: Eukaryota; Metazoa; Arthropoda; Arachnida; Araneae; Nemesiidae.
UCAUAUUAGUAAAGCCUGCUCAAUGAAUAAUAAAUAGCCGCAGAAUAUCCCUGUGCUAAGGUAGCAUAAUAAUUAGCCUUAUAAUUUAAGGCUCGCAUGAAGGGUAUCACAUAUUGAUAACUUUAUUGACCAAACUCUUUUAACCUAACUUUUUAGUAAAAAGGCUAAAAUUUAUUUAAGAAGACGACAAGACCCUGACAAACUUUACACUUAUGUUUUACUGGGGGGGUAAAAAAACUAUAUCUUUUUCAUUUAUAUAAAUAUCAGAAAUAUUUCUACAUUUAUUCAAGUUACUGCAGGGAUAACAGCAUAAUUUUUUCCUAAAGACCUUAUCCAAGAAAAAGUUUGUGACCUCGAUGUUGAAUUAAGAACCUAUAAAGAGCAAAAUCUUUACAAGUAAGUCUGUUCGACUUUUAAUAUCUUACAUGAUUUGAGUUCAGACCGGCGCAAGCCAGGUCGGUUUUUAUCUCUUUUUAAGAAUUUUUAGUACGAAAGGAUCAAAAUUCUAAUCUUCCAUUCU